CCACAUCCGACAGUGGAGUUCAGCAAUGCGCGUGCUGUAAAUGGCGCACUUGUAGUGCGUACUGUAAAGUCUGCGAGCUGACAUUCACCCCAAUAAAUGAGCAACUCUAGCUGAAGACAACUGAAAUCUGUGUGACAAGAUGUUGAUUAAAGAGGAGAGUGAAGAAACGAGUUGCCCAGAUGAAUGCACAACGAAACAUGAAGAUACUGAUGAACAAAGAGACCUAUGUAUCUGAAUGCUCUCAGAUCUUCUCUGAUCAUACACAAGGUAAAGCCAUGAUGAUCCUGAACGCUGUGUCGGUCACUGGACUCCUGCUCUCCCUGACCGGUUUAACGGCGUAUAAUUUGAGUCAGGAGAAGUCCAAGUCGGUGAAACUGGGUGACAAGGUGUCGAUACUCUGCACUGCAGAAGAUGAUGAGUAUUACAUUUCAUGGUACCAACAAAAAGCCGGUGCUCCUCCUCAGUUUCUGUUUUUUAACGACAUAAGAGCGAGCGAUUUACCCGACAGGUUCACUUUCACUGACUCGGGCAAUCAGGAUUAUCUGACCAUCGAUGGAGUGAGAGCUGAAGAUGAAGCAGUUUAUUACUGUGCUUGUAUUGGCUGUGCAGGAGCCACAGUGCUCCAGUCCAACAGAGCCGUCGUACAAAAACCUCCUCUGAAGCGUGACCUCCUCUGAAGCGUGUGCUCAGAAAUCUCCAUGCUACACAUUAUUCUUUAAUGCACAACGUACUAAGUUUUGUUGAACAUUGUCACCAACUUGAAAAUCAUGUGUUGAUUCAUGUGAUUCAUUCAUUUUCACACGAUUCAUUUCUCACACUGAAUUUUACACAUGAUUCAUCACUUCACACAGAUCAGAGAUAAUGAAUACAGGCUUUAUAGAGAGUGUUAGCAAGCCUUAGAAAUAUGCUCUGCACUAAAUCCGCGAAACUUUCUGCUCUUUUGUCUAUAUUCAGGAGCGGUGAAGUGCUCAGAUUACAGCGCUGAGGUUUUUGUACUGAGCUCUAACACCGUGAGCCUAUGUGUUUGCUCAAGGCACCAACCUUGUGAUAUCUGAUCGUCCGUCGUCUCCUCCGUCUCUGCUCCUGCUGGCUCCUCCUGCUUCUCCGCUCUCUGAGGGUGAUGUCAGUGUGGUGUGUGUGGCUCGGGGCUUUUACCCUGACGGUGUCACCAUGUCCUGGUCUGAGGACAGCAGCGGCGUGACGGGGGACGAGGUGCAGACGGCUCCGUAUCAGCGUCAGGCCGACGGCACCUUCUCCCAGACCAGCGUUCUGAAGCUCAGUAAGCAGCGCUGGAGCUCCGGGAGAACCUACACUGAGUCACCCGGCGCUUUCCACACCGCUGAGCCAGAGCACCAGCCUGAACCAGUGCAUGUAGAGAGAUUCUCUAACCAUCAACAAACAUGCAUUAAAGAAUUCCACUUGUUCUUUACUUGCUUGCUUUAGAAAGUAUACGAUAAUAAAGUGAUAUUGUUAAUUGUAAUUGUUAA
This is a non-coding RNA of Sinocyclocheilus rhinocerous, 1487 nucleotides long. NCBI's taxonomy places the organism in Eukaryota, Metazoa, Chordata, Actinopteri, Cypriniformes, Cyprinidae. The record is from the annotation of a RefSeq genome assembly.